GAAUACCAGUUUCCGAGCGGCAGCGGCAGCGAUGGCGAUUUUUAGUGUGUAUGUGGUGAACAAAGCUGGCGGCUUGAUUUACCAGUUGGACAGCUACGCGCCACGGGCUGAGGCUGAGAAAACUUUCAGUUAUCCGCUGGAUCUGCUGCUCAAGCUACACGAUGAGCGUGUGUUGGUUGCUUUCGGCCAGCGGGACGGCAUCCGAGGUGGGCUAGGCUCGGGCCCGUGGCGGGUGCGGGGGUGGGAGGGCCCCAGUGCUGUAGAAGUGGGCUGGUUGUAGGUGCGGGGUUGGGGGGAAAGGGGUUGUGUCGGGUCCCUUGUCCCCUCGGCGGAAUCCCGGGGCUGCAGCUUCGCUGACCGUUAGCUUCACCUCUGCAGUGGGUCAUGCAGUGCUGGCCAUCAAUGGCAUGGACGUGAAUGGCAGGUACACGGCCGACGGGAAAGAGGUGCUGGAGUAUCUGGGUAACCCUGCUAAUUACCCGGUGUCCAUUCGAUUUGGCCGGCCCCGCCUCACUUCUAAUGAGAAGCUUAUGCUGGCCUCCAUGUUCCACUCGCUCUUUGCCAUCGGCUCCCAGCUGUCUCCUGAACAGGGAAGCUCAGGCAUUGAGAUGCUGGAGACAGACACAUUCAAAUUGCACUGCUACCAGACACUGACAGGGAUCAAGUUUGUGGUUCUAGCAGAUCCUAGGCAAGCUGGAAUAGAUUCUCUUCUCCGAAAGAUUUAUGAGAUUUACUCAGACUUUGCCCUCAAGAAUCCAUUCUAUUCCUUAGAAAUGCCUAUCAGGUGUGAGCUCUUUGACCAGAACCUGAAGCUAGCUCUGGAGGUGGCAGAGAAGGCUGGAACUUUUGGACCUGGGUCAUAGGCUGAACCUGUUAUGGACCCCCAAAUUCUGAGAGUUCCUGCAACAAGAAUACUGCUGUUGACACUCCAGUGGAAAUCCCAGCAGCCUUGUUAGUGCACUUGAAAGUGGGAGAAUGCUGACCCUGAUGACUUGUACUGAUUCCUGAGCCUUAACACUGUGCUCUUUCCUUCUGUAUAUACCAUGGUCUUACUUUCCAACUCUGUACAGAUUUAUUUAUGGAGGAGCUAGGUCCAUAAAUGUUGUAAUAAAUAUUCCUUUGAUCUUGGUGUUUGC
This 1136-nucleotide small RNA is filed under the name Pan troglodytes (chimpanzee). RNAcentral's name for it is "retained intron". The record is from RNAcentral. Lineage: Eukaryota; Metazoa; Chordata; Mammalia; Primates; Hominidae.